Molecule: ribosomal RNA, 899 nt
Filed under: Fusarium culmorum
Lineage: Eukaryota; Fungi; Ascomycota; Sordariomycetes; Hypocreales; Nectriaceae
Description: LSU rRNA
Rfam family: Eukaryotic large subunit ribosomal RNA
Source: RNAcentral
GCAUAUCAAUAAGCGGAGGAAAAGAAACCAACAGGGAUUGCCCUAGUAACGGCGAGUGAAGCGGCAACAGCUCAAAUUUGAAAUCUGGCUUUCGGGCCCGAGUUUGUAAUUUGUAGAGGAUGAUUUUGAUGCGGUGCCUUCCGAGUUCCCUGGAACGGGACGCCAUAGAGGGUGAGAGCCCCGUCUGGUUGGAUGCCAAAUCUCUGUAAAUCUCCUUCGACGAGUCGAGUAGUUUGGGAAUGCUGCUCUAAAUGGGAGGUAUAUGUCUUCUAAAGCUAAAUACCGGCCAGAGACCGAUAGCGCACAAGUAGAGUGAUCGAAAGAUGAAAAGCACUUUGAAAAGAGAGUUAAAAAGUACGUGAAAUUGUUGAAAGGGAAGCGUUUAUGACCAGACUUGGGCUUGGUUAAUCAUCUGGGGUUCUCUCCAGUGCACUUUUCCAGCCCAGGCCAGCAUCAGUUUUCGCCGGGGGAUAAAGACUUCGGGAAUGUGGCUCCCCUCGGGGAGUGUUAUAGCCCGUUGUGUAAUACCCUGGUGGGGACUGAGGUUCGCGCUUCUGCAAGGAUGCUGGCGUAAUGGUCAUCAACGACCCGUCUUGAAACACGGACCAAGGAGUCGUCUUCGUAUGCGAGUGUUCGGGUGUCAAACCCCUACGCGUAAUGAAAGUGAACGCAGGUGAGAGCUUCGGCGCAUCAUCGACCGAUCCUGAUGUUCUCGGAUGGAUUUGAGUAAGAGCAUACGGGGCCGGACCCGAAAGAAGGUGAACUAUGCCUGUGUAGGGUGAAGCCAGAGGAAACUCUGGUGGAGGCUCGCAGCGGUUCUGACGUGCAAAUCGAUCGUCAAACAUGGGCAUGGGGGCGAAAGACUAAUCGAACCUUCUAGUAGCUGGUUUCCGCCGAAG